Vidua chalybeata is the source of this 495-nucleotide long non-coding RNA. RefSeq lists it as uncharacterized. The transcript is spliced from 5 exons. The record is from RefSeq and is a predicted model, not a curated record. NCBI's taxonomy places the organism in Eukaryota, Metazoa, Chordata, Aves, Passeriformes, Viduidae.
CAUUUGCCUUUGUCACAAAGGCAGACUCCUGGCUCGUGUUCAACUUGGCGUCCAGCAGGACCCCGGAUCCUUUUCUGACAAGCUGGAGCUGGGUGAAGAUCUUGGUGGUGGAGAUCUCUGGGGAGGCAGUGCCACCACACGGUGCACGUCCAGCAGCAGGUGUGGAGUUACUGACACAGCUGCAUGGCAGGAGACCUGGGUGAUCAUUGGCCAGCAUAAUGCUCCAGCACUGGGUGUAUCCAUGGCAGGACACGAAGCUUGGCUGGAUCCAGCACUGCUGUAUGUUUAUUUUAGAACAAUUUGGUUGCAAUGAAAAGGAGUCUCUUACAGACACCGAGGUGGCUGGUGGUCCCUGGUCUGGGGGCCAGCUCACACCAUGGACCACUCCUACAGCAGUGUGAUCCCCUGUGCCACCUGGUCUCAGUGCUGGAGCUCCUGCAGGGAAUCAGCUACCACUAGGGUUGUCAGGUACUUUUUAAUAAACACCUGAGCAUA